AUUGAACGCUGGCGGCAGGCCUAACACAUGCAAGUCGAACGGUAACAGGGAUCAGCUUGCUGAUUCGCUGACGAGUGGCGGACGGGUGAGUAAUGUCUGGGAAACUGCCUGAUGGAGGGGGAUAACUACUGGAAACGGUAGCUAAUACCGCAUAACGUCGCAAGCCCAAAGAGGGGGACCUUCGGGCCUCUUGCCAUCGGCUGUGCCCAGAUGGGAUUAGCUAGUAGGUGGGGUAACGGCUCACCUAGGCGACGAUCCCUAGCUGGUCUGAGAGGAUGACCAGCCACACUGGAACUGAGACACGGUCCAGACUCCUACGGGAGGCAGCAGUGGGGAAUAUUGCACAAUGGGCGCAAGCCUGAUGCAGCCAUGCCGCGUGUAUGAAGAAGGCCUUCGGGUUGUAAAGUACUUUCAGCGGGGAGGAAGGGAGUAAAGUUAAUACCUUUGCUCAUUGACGUUACCCGCAGAAGAAGCACCGGCUAACUCCGUG
RNAcentral lists this ribosomal RNA (490 nucleotides) under uncultured bacterium. RNAcentral describes it as "partial 16S ribosomal RNA". It matches the Rfam family "Bacterial small subunit ribosomal RNA", at positions 30 to 507 of the family's 1533-position model. The record is from RNAcentral.